GGAAUAUUGGACAAUGGGCGCAAGCCUGAUCCAGCCAUGCCGCGUGAGUGAAGAAGGCCUUCGGGUUGUAAAGCUCUUUUAACUGUGAAGAUAAUGACGGUAGCAGUAGAAAAAGCCCCGGCUAACUUCGUGCCAGCAGCCGAGGUAAUACGAAGGGGGCAAGCGUUGUUCGGAAUUACUGGGCGUAAAGCGUGCGUAGGCGGCCAAGCAAGUUGGAAGUUAAAUCCCAGGGCUCAACCCUGGAACUGCUUUCAAAACUGCUAGGCUAGAAUCUCGGAGAGGAUAGCGGAAUUUCCAGUGUAGAGGUGAAAUUCGUAGAUAUUGGAAGGAACACCAGUGGCGUAGGCGGCUAUCUGGACGAGUAUUGACGCUAAGGCACGAAAGUGUGGGGAGC
RNAcentral lists this ribosomal RNA (394 nucleotides) under uncultured bacterium. RNAcentral's name for it is "bacterial SSU rRNA". It matches the Rfam family "Bacterial small subunit ribosomal RNA", at positions 358 to 769 of the family's 1533-position model. The record is from RNAcentral.